Molecule: ribosomal RNA, 141 nt
Filed under: Escherichia coli
Lineage: Bacteria; Pseudomonadati; Pseudomonadota; Gammaproteobacteria; Enterobacterales; Enterobacteriaceae
Description: partial 16S ribosomal RNA
Rfam family: Bacterial small subunit ribosomal RNA
Source: RNAcentral
UGGGAGGUGGUUGCAAAAGAAGUAUGUAGCUGAACCGUCGGGAGGGCGCUUACCACUUUGUGAUUCAUGACUGGGGUGAAGUCGUAACAAGGUAACCGUAGGUGAACCUGCGGUUGGAACACCUCCUUACCGUAAAGAAGC